RNAcentral lists this long non-coding RNA (10792 nucleotides) under Heterocephalus glaber (naked mole-rat). RNAcentral describes it as "lncRNA (ENSHGLG00000046139.1)". The record is from RNAcentral. Lineage: Eukaryota; Metazoa; Chordata; Mammalia; Rodentia; Bathyergidae.
GUCUAUUGACCUUUUUUUGAGAAACUUCCAUUUGGAGACUAUGGAGAGGUCAAGAUUUCUCUCACUUGCUAAUGGUGCUUCCUUAUCCUCUCACAUUCUUCCCUCUACAAAUAAGUCAAAGCAUGUAUUAUUCAUUAUCUUAAAAGAAGAGGCUCAAAAUAGAACAUUGGCAGAACUAGGGUAGAUUAGAUUUUAUCAUUAUCCCUUUGCCAUUCAUCUGCUUCUCAGGCACAGUCCCUUGCCUGCAGGGUGUAUUUGUGCCCCAUCCCCACCCCAUCAUUACAGGUUUUUUUUUGUUUGUACCUGGGAUCGAACUCGGAUCCUUGCACUUGUGAAGCAGGCAGCAGAACCACUGAGCUAAAUCCCUGGCCUGGGAAUACACAUUUAAAUGAGAUAUAACCUGAUGAUAGCUAACAAGGAAUAAUGAUAAUGAUCUUUCCCAAGGAGAGCUGCUCAUUUGCUUACUCAUUGUAAGUCAGAGAAACUUGAGAGGUGACCCAUUACUUAAUAAUGACUAUGGCCCCAAAGGUGGUUCUGUUAGAUCUAUGCGAAUGUGGAUUGAUUAGUGAAUUUUGGUUUAUUUUGUCAAUAAAAUCCUGAACCACUGCAAUAUUUGUUUUUCCCACUUUGAGGUAGAACUAAUGAAGUUCUUGAACUCUAACUAGAAAUUUGAAGCAAAAACCCAUAUAUGAGAAUAAAUGUAAAAGAAGGGAUGAAUUCCAAAUGGUAUUAUUCCCUAUGUAAUUUCACAAAAGAAAGUGAAGUCCAGUAAUUUUCCAGUCACUCUGACCAGAGGAGAUGGGUAUGCUGUGAUUAUUCAGAUAAAAACCAAAACAAACACAAACACCCUAGAAGGCUAUAAUGAUAACCUAGUUGGCCCUACCCAUAUAAUAAAGUAACAGGCUAGAUAUCAGAUUCCCACUUUACAAGAAAUAGAGAAUGGACGGAUUAGAGAAUGAAUGGCUCCUCAUGAUCAUUAGUGAAUAUUUAAUUAAAGAUUAUUGCCAAAGCAAACUAAGGAAUAGUUAAUAAAAUUGAUGAACUUGUGUAGCUAAUUAAGAUUAUUUGGUCAAUAUAGAAACAAAACAAAUUUGAUUUGGUUUGUUGCCUUCUCGCCUUCCCAAAUGAGAUCUCUACUACCCCAACUUCCUGACCUUUAAAGAAUGUUCCUCUUAUCUGUGAACAAAUUGUGUUGUUAAUUGGGUAAUUAAUUUUAAGUUUUAGACCUCCAUCCUUGCUUUAUUGAGGGGAAUUACUUUAAAAAGGAAAAAUGUGUCCUGGCCCAGCAAUUAUCAAGGGAGUUGUCUUGGGGGAGGGUGAAGGUGAUUUUCCUGUCAAUCAACCUUUAAAAGCACUUAACAAGAGAUUUAGUAAGUCUCCUUUUUCCAGUGAUAAGCUGUCUAGCCAAUUCAUUCUUAGAAUUGAACUUUAGCUAAUUUAUCUACAUUUGCACAAUAAAAAUCAGUGUCACUUCAGAUCCUCCUUGAUGUAGGUUCCAUCUAGCACAAUGGAAACAAUACACUCCAAAAAAGUAGUGAAGGGUUGUUUCAAAUUUGUAUUUGUGUGUGUGCACGCGGCCUAGGUGUAAUUAUCAGGUUAGUGUUGGGUCAGUGGCUAAUGUCCAUGUGAGUGCUGAGUGCCACAGGGAAGAACUCUUUGGUUACAAAGUUGAACAGCUGUUUAGUUCUGAAGGAUGCUUGUCUUAUGGUGGAUAUCAGUCCUUGGGAAUGUAGAGUAAAAUGGUCUUUUGAUAUGACAUUACAGAUUUCUGGGGGAAAAUCAAAACUUCUUUUUUUGGUUUUCAUUUAUAUGGUCAAGAGUAACAUCUUACCAAAAAGAAAAGAAUAAGAAAGAAAAAAGAAUAGGGUGUUAGGACCCAAGACUUCAUUGCUAGGUAAGCACUGUUCCAUUAAGCUGCACCCCCAGCCUCUUAGAAUUCACUUUUGAAAGCUAAAAGACACAGAAUUCACAUUGAUCACCAGCAGUGUUUCCCAAUUACAGCCAAUGGUCCGGAGUUUAUCUUUUUAUAUGGAAGACAGACAGAGACAGUUUUAAGAAAAGUCUCUUUGAUUUGUGUGCCUUGUGUGAUUCUCAACAAGGAGUGAUUCUGUAGCCCAGGGGCCUAUUAGCAAUAUGUGGAGACAUUUUUGAUUGUUAUGAUUGAGGGGUGCUGUUGACAUCUAAUGGAUGGAAGCUAGAGAUGCUGCUAAAAAUCCUACAAUUCACAGUAAAGUCUGUUACAACACAGAAUUUUCCAUUCCCGUGUUUAGGUUGAGAAACUCUGAAGGCUUGGUUUAAAUUUGUGAAGCAUUCUUCCUGUACCAUGUCCAGAAGUGAUGAGAUAAAAUAGAACAAUAAUAGUUACCAACUUAAAUGUAUAUAGGAUUUAUUUAAAGUUAGAUACAAUUACCCAUUUUUAUCGACAUGAAAGGUAAGAGUUAUAGAGAAAAAUGCAUAACCUCCCCUAGCAUUCUGAUAGUGAUGAGGCAGGCCCAUAGUUUAGAGUCGCUUCUACUUCAAUUUCUAUGCCUCAGAAAAAUUAUAGUUCAUUGAUGUCGUCAAACUUGUAAAAGCUAAAUUGUCUGCAAAGCUCUUUGGGAGGCUUUUUAGUUUUCAUGACUAUGUUGCACAUGUUUUUCUGAGUGAUCAAUAAUAGACAACAAGGUUUCACAGACAUGAAACCAGUAAGGGGAGAAAGUUUUUAGAAUGGGCCAAUGUUUUCUUCUUUAACUGCUCAUCAUACACUUUAUUUCUUUGGGCUAAGUACCCACUCAUUAAAGAUGGCAUGUAGAUUAUGGAAAAUAUCCUCGCUAGAUCCACACAGGAUCUCACUUCCUGUUUUCAAGAACAUAGUAAGUCUAAGCACAGGCCCUGGGUACAGGGCUUAUUAUGAUAUGUGCAUAAACUACUUCAUUAGGGCAUAAAACACAUAUGUGGUCUCAAAAAAUUUGACAUUUUCCCUUUAAUUUAGCAUACCAAUAUCACAAGUGAUAAAAUAAAGAUCAGAUCACUUCCCAUUGGAAAACCAAGGGCAAGAGAAUUUAAAUUAGUCAUUCAUUUAUUUAUUUAUGCAUGCAUUCAGGAAAUAUUUGUUGAAUGCAUACCAAGUACAGAUCACUAUAAUGAACGUUAUAAUAGACUAGAGAAUCAAAUGUGGAAUAAAGAGCUUGAAUUCAAAUCCCUGAAACCCUAGACUAAUUUAUUUUUCUAUGUAGUUCUGAUCAACAUGCUAGAAUUAUUGUUUAAAUAUCAAAUUAUAAAUAAUAUAUAUUAAGGAUUUAUUAUAAUGUGCCCAAAACUCCAAGGGCUUUACAUACUUUAUCUCAUUUAAUCCUGUAAUAACCCAGUGAAAUAGGCCUUGUCACUAUCCUCUUUCUUACAAAUGAGGUCUGUGAGGCUCAGAAACAGAAAGUAGCAAAAGCCCAUAGCUCAACAGUGGCAGGGCUGAUUUUCAUUUGAUGUGUUGAACUCCAAAGGCUGAUGACUUACCCAUCUCAUAACCUCUGCUCUUUGUUCUCUGGACUUUGUCUGUUACUUAUCUCUUCUACUCUAACCAACUGGAGGCCAGGAUGAUCCUAGCCUGACAUGUUUCCUGAAAGUCAUUAGUUAAUUUAAAUUGAAUAUACAACUAGACAUGUGUCUUCCAAGAAGACAAAGAUUUGGAAGGGUAGUUUUUCUGCCAUGGGCUGUAAUUUAUGCCACAAACAUUAUAUGGAGCCUUAAUGUUCCAGAACAAAUACCUGGUAAGUAUUGAUCCAUUCUGAAACCCCAAGUGGCAGACUAGCUCCCACCCAGGAGGAUUCUACCCAUGACUGUGUGCUGUGCUGCAUUUAGGUCACCCGGGGAAGUUUCAGAAGUAAAAUAGGUGUGUGAGCGUAGAUAAGUGUAUUCAUACAUAUAUGUAUUUACAUGUCUUCUAGUUUCACCUUUGACUUUAAAACCUUUUUGUAAAAUUCAAAUCAGCUCAGAAAUCCAAAAGAAUUGUGUGUUCCCCCAACAUCUCAUUGUUACUGCUGUAGGUUGGGGGAAAGAGGCAGCUGCAGAAAAGGAGCUGCACUGACAUAGAUGAGAGAGUGUGAGUACGCGUGUGUGUGUUGAUGUGUUCUGUGUUUGUGUAUAAAGCUACAUAUAUAUGUAUAUAUGUGUUUACAUUUAUCUAAAUGUAUAUAUAUAAAUAUAUAUCUACUAUAUAUAUGUAUACACACAUGAAACUCAUAGUUUGAAACUCUUUGGAAUUUUGAGUUUGGGAAAAUUAUUACAAUUUAUAUUUGGUUUCCUAGAAAGUCUACUAUAUUUCUGAUUUCCAACAUUUUCUUCCACUAUGAAUGUAUAUAUUUAUUUGUAGUACAGAGAAUAUGAUUGGAAUACCUCGAUUUAACAUUAUUGGAUACAAAAGUUCAUUUCAAGAACUGUCAAACUUAUAAAACUGGCUUUCUUAUUAAACCAUUUGUUGGAAUUUCAAACUAUGUGUUUUCAAACUUGUUCAUUCCAAAAAAAAAAAAAAAUUAAAAAUCCAAAUGAACAGUGAUGAUUCUUUGGAACAAAAGAAAAAGAAAAUAUAGGUAUGGGUAGCACAAAACCAGUGAUUAUUGGCUUCAUGGUACAUAUUGGAUAAUCCCCUGUCAUCUCCCACUUGUUUCUAUUUUAUCAUUCGUGGUGGUCUCUAUGGCUUACAUGAUGUAUAGGUGGAGCUAAUUGUUUAAUUAUUUUGAAGCUAUGGUAGAUAAUUUAUAAUAUGCAUAUUGUAAAUAGAUACUAAAGCUCAAGGGCACAUUGUAUUAAUAACCAAACACUCUCUAGUCUUCUGCAAAGAAGUCUUUCAGCCUGUUUAUACAAAUACCAAAAUAGUUGCUCAAAGAAGGAAAUGAAAUAAAAUGUUAUUUAUUUUGGCAUUCUAUACAUAUCACAACCAAAUGACUGAAUUUUGGGCACUCCUACAAAUACAGUAAGUUAUGGUCUCGUUUAUAGCCAUGGGCUUUGCCUCUUACUGGAAAAUAUGAAAAGUGUUUAAGUCAACCUAUGCAAACAGAAUUUCCCCGUUGCUCCUCGGGAUCUAUUUGUAUGUGAACAAGUCUAUCCCUUCAGAAACAUAUGGUUCCCAGGCCAGGCCUGGGAAGUUGAGAUACCAGGCACAGACUCCUCCUCUGACACACCUAAAGUACCUGUGAAUGAAGCAAAUAUAGUCAUUCAUUUUUUUCCCUAUAAGUCCCUUGAAGAUUGAUCUUAAAAGCAUUAGGAAAAAGUUCUUUUAUAUUAUAAAUAUUCUAAUUAUUUAAAUAUUUAUAUAUUUAAAUAUUCUAAUUAGGAUUAGGAACACUUAAAGGAAUGAUUAUUUUUCUCCAAAAGUUUGGAACAGAAGGAGAUUUUACAUCAUCCUGGCUUCAAGUUUCCUUGCCAUUUUUCUUUGUUUAUUUUUAAUUUCAAAGGAGAAUGUUGAAUCAGGAGAAUUUUUCUUAAGACACUCUGCUUAAUUAUUUUUUUUAAUCAUGAGGAGUGGGGAAGUGGGAGUGCCAGAACUCAUGACCUUGUUUCUGUUCUAAAAAAUAGAUUCAUAAAUUGCUGAAAAAAUAUACUACUUAAGAUACACAGAAACACCAAUUUAGGGAAGCUGCAUUUCAGAGCCCAGUGAAAGUUGUUAAUGGAAUCUGCUUUAUGUGGGUCACUCCUUAGAUUGGUCAUAGUGUUCAGCUUAGUCUGCAAAAUAAAGAAUCUUUCUGUUGGCUGAAGGAACUUAAAUAAAAAUCUUAGUUAAAUUCAUGUUUCCUACAUCUUUUAUAACCAGGACAGUACUGGGUAGAACCUAAAAAACAAAAUAAUUUAUACAAGUUAAAUUGACAUGUUUAAAUAAUAUCAGCACGACCCUUGACACUUACAAAAUUAAGGACCCUGUUGAUUAGAUUACCUGGAGAUCUUCAAAUAUAUUUUACCUGGGAUUGUCAAGUUCUUCUUUCUGUCUCUGAUGCUUUGAAUGUGAUCCCAGCACAGACAGACAAGUCUGAAUUUUGCUGGAACUUACAAUGGCAAUUUAUUAGGGCCUUGCUCAUGUUACUUUUUCCUGACCUGAAUCAAGCACUUGAUGACUUGGGUCAGUUUCUUGCACAUUGAUGUAUACCAAGUGACACCCAUUGAAAUUACCUCUUCUCUUUUCCAGUGCAGUUUGCUUGUACAUAAGUGUAAUGUCAAAUUGUUUACAGGUUCUUUUUGUGUGUAUUUGUGAUAGCCGAUUUAGCUCAAACUUUAAAGGAAUCUGUUUACUGAAUGGUGUUAAAAUGGAUGUGCUUAUUACAGUAUAAACAUCAUUAAUUAUGGACUCACAUGAAUGCAUGUCUACAUGUCAUCAAUUUCCAACAGCUUGGUUAUUCAGCAAAAGUCUGUGGUCUGUGAAUAGCAAAUAUACAUAAACUACUGUGACUCUAAUAACUCAAUAACUGUUUUACCUUGGUAUGUAACACUGUAGAUCUCAGCCUGCUGUAUUUUUUUCUUACCUAUGUGUUUUUGUUAGACAAACAUGCUAAAAAAUAGUGAUACUAAUGUCCCAGUGGAAUUGCACACUAUUUUGGCAAUUAUUGGUCCACUCAAAAGGCAACUGCCUAUAGAUGGAACAACAGCCCUGAGCAACAUAUAAAUAUAUACAUACAUAUGUAUGCAAUAUCUACAAUGCUAAUUACUACCAUCUAUUCUCACUGCCAAUGGAAACAAACUACUAUUUUCUUUGAAAUCACUGAUAGAUACAAAAUUUAUUUGCUAUUAACUGCUUUCAUAUUCUGUUUAGUUCUUAUAGUAUGGUAGAUGAUACAGGUGCAGUAUCAGUAUUGUAAAAUUGUAUGGUGAAAACUAAAAAAGUCAUUCUGUGGAUAUAUUUUAAAAGGCAGAACAGAAACUAUAUUUCAGAUUCUUGUGUGAAAAUAAUUACAGAAAUAGGUAACUAUUUUUUAUGUGUUUCCAUAAAUGACUCCAUUUCAUAUACAUUGUAAUUUAGCACCAAUCAUAAUAAAUCAUUUCAUAACAUUUAGUUGUUAUAUAUAUUUUCAGAAUAUAUGAGAAUGAUGAUUCAACAUUAUUUCAUGUGAAUUUAAGAAUUUUACAUAAAAGAUAAUUGCUGUUGCAAUUAGCUUGUUUCCAGUUUGGUGUGGGAACUUGCUGAUUUGGGCUACAAAAAAAGAGAAAGCUUAGUAAGUUGAUUAUUUAAUAUAUUUAGAAUGAAACUGCAAUGGAUGGAUGCCUUUCUUGCCCCUGCCUCUUGUUAAUUGUGUGUUGCACUAUUUGCUUAUUUAUUAUUUAUCAAACCUCUUUAAACUCUAGUUUCCUCAUCUAUAAAUAAGAGAUAAAAAAUAAUAGAUCAUAAGAUUCCUGUAAGAAUUAAAUUAGAUAAUCCAAGAAAAGCAUUUUUCAGUGUCUAACACGUUAAAAAGAUGCUUAAUAAUGCCUAUUUAUUUUCAUUACUAUUACUCAAAUAUUCAAAUUUUAGAGUUUGGCUUUAACACAUAAAAUAUAUGUAUGUAUAUAUAUGUAUAUAUAUGUAUAUAUAUUUUUUCUCUUUAGUAUUUCUACUUGUUAUGCUUUUUAAUCAGAGGAGGAGAUUACAAAGAGAAAAAGAAUUCUUGAACUUGUAGGAGUUCUAGAAAUAAUUUGGACUUUUGGUAAUGUGAAGUGUGUUUAUUAGAACUCUUCUCCCAUGAUGUGCACUCAAAAUAUGGAAGGAAUGGGAUGAUGUACAGUUUGAGGAAUAUAACCUCUUUACACAAACCACCUUUUAAUUUUUAAAUGCUCUUUAUAUUUAAAGUCCUAGAUGUUUUGCAGAAAAGGAAAUUGCAAACUUCAUUUUCUCAGAAUUUCCCAGACUUCUCUCACCAAGGAGACUUACAGUUUGGGUUGGGAAGUGCUGAUCUAGCCAGUCUUUUCCUUUUACAGGAGGGAAAAGCUGAGGCCCAGAUAGGGGAGGGUGUGUUAAAGGUGUGGAGGUCCUGGGCUUAUAACCUCACCUAUGGAAUCAGGCAAGGGUACUCUGUCAUAAAUUACUCUCAUGUAAAUGGCUGGCAAGAGUAACAAGGUUGUUCUGAAAACUACUUCUAAAGUUACAGCAUCUGCUUUGCUCAGAUCCAGAGUAGAGUCAAAUGAAGUACUGAAAGCCAGGCAGGUGAAAGGUGAGAAUAAAUGUGCAGUAAUAUUUUAGAGUCAGUCACUGCUGAGAUUGCUGAUUUUCAGAUAUUGUCAUCACUGUGAAACCGAUAUUGGACCACACUGAACUUCAGCCCACUAGAAUGAUAAGCUCUUACAUAUACCAAAGUGGUGAAGGCAUUUGGAGAGGAAUUUUCCUAUGAAUUCUUAUGUGGGAAGCUAUGGGCUUUCUUCUGAAAAACAUAGGGAAAAGCCCCUGUGUCAAGAAAUUGUGAAGUUAAUGACCCACAACACUCUAAAAAUUGUUUAAGUAGAGCCAUAACUUCCUUAGAUUUAGGUUACAGAGAAAGACAGAGCCACCAUUCCUAAAGGAUACAGACAAGCAUUUACAUAAGGAGGAAAUGUUGGAUAUCAAUUUAACUGACUGUAGCCUUAAAGGAAGAGAAACAGCACGUAAUUUGUCACCAUUUUUCUGCCAACUACAGAAGCUAUUUUGUUCACAAAUCAAGAGUUCUAAGAAUAUUAUUGAGUCACUAGAGAGUGAUAUGAGUGGUGAGAAUACAAAGUUGUUCUCUUGACUUACCUGGGAGACUGGAAGAAAAAGAGGGAAUGUGGGGAAUCCAGCCAGGAAUAUACAGUACUGGUGGUGGACCAGGAGACUCUCUGCUUCUGCUCAGUGGAGAUAUUUGGGUGGACGAUUUUCUCAUUCACCUCAGCACUGUAGGUGCUACACAUAGCCACCGUCCAAAAACUCAUUCUUCUGAUAUAUUGAGUUGAGCAGAACUUGAUCAGAAAGAUCAUAGCUUGUGGAAUGAGGUCAGUAAAAUAGGCAAAACACCACCCCCUCAGACCAUAGUUCAUCUCCCCUCCAAUUUUAAUCCAAAGGCAGAGUUCCUUCCUAUGCCUACAAAGCACUCUGAGCUCCAUCAAUCUCUCCCCACCCUCCGUGGUAGCUGCCACUGAAAGUGGUCCUGAUAGGUGUUUAUCCCAAUAGGGGGGCAGCUAAAUCUCCUGGCCAGGCAGAACAGCAGUAUCUUUAAAUAAACCAACUUCACUUUUUAAGCCUUAAAAAUAACAAUGUGUCAGCAGCAAAGGCCCAGACAGGCAGGUUUUUCAAAUGCUCCAAAUGCCAGAGAGCUCCAAGGGGCUCCCAUGAGGCCAUUUCUUGUUCUUGCAAUCAUGUCAUGAAAGCACCAAGGACAAAGUCUGGGGAUGCAAUGCAUCCUUGAUUUUUCUCUUUCCUGUGAUCCACUGCAAGCCCAAUUAGGGUAAAGAGAAGAAAAACACUCUGCAUGCCUUGAAGGCGCCUAGUACAUUGAAAUGGAAUUGCUGUUCUCUGUAAUUAGGUCUGAGUUCACAAGUACUGUCCAGAUCAACCUACUCCUUGGUGGGUAUGAAGCAACUUGACAGCACCUAGACAUAUAAUCACAAAGCCACCUGCACGUUGUGAUACAAGAAAUCAUUUCUUCUCUCCAUUCCCUUGGACUCUCCACUUCUAUCUGUGCACUUCAGCUUCUUCUUUUUUUUUUUUUUUAAUUCUGUUUGCUCUUCCUGCAUCUAGAGUAUAGAGUUUAAUAAAUCACAGCAUCGCUUAUUUGAUCCUCCCAAACAAACAUACUCUCCUCUCUGGGUCUCAGUUUCCUCAUCUGAUUUGUAAAUGAAAACUUGGAAAGAGAUUACUUUUGCACAAUUUUGCUAUCUUUUUUUUAAUAUGAAUUUUUUACCUAGGCUUUGGCUGGUCUCCUACUUGUCAGAAGGGCUGGGGUGGGGUUUGAGGUUUGGUGAUUCUCACAAGUUAACCAGUUCAGAUUGCCUUUCUCUGAGGUCUAUCAUAUAAAAUGAAGGGCAAAAAGAAAGUGAGCAGGAUGCUGGUAGAUUGUAGACUUAAAAUAUAUUCUACCACAGUUAUUGUGAAUGAGUGUGCUGUCCUUGCUGCUCUAUCUGUGGGAGUGAAGUGGACACACAAGCCCUUCUGCUGCUAUUUUCUAUACAUGUGCAAACUGAUUGACUCAUUUUCCAUAUUAUCUAGAGCUCUAUUUUUUGUUUUAGCAAGUGCAGCAUGAGUUAACAUCUUUAACAUAGAUAGAAGGGACAUAAUUGAAAAGGAUGGAGAAGUAGUAAAUUUAUGGAGUUGGACAUGAAAAGUGCCACAAGGGGCAGCAAUUGUUCUUCCUCCUCUUGCCCUCAGAAGAACGGCCUUAAGCACCCAAAAAUAAUAAGGUAUCUGCUUAAAAAUAAAGAAAAAGGAGAUGAAUGCCCUACUCUCUCUGCCCCUGAUAUUAGCAAACAUAGGAGAGUAUCAGGAAGGAGAGAGAUGUUAGAAACAACCAGGUCUGCACACCUGAAGCAUAAGAGAUUUUUGCCUGCUAGAGUAAAUGAAUCGCAUGGUAAUUACCUUGAUCCACUCUUUAGAGAGCUGCUACUUGAAGAUCCCUUUGGAAAACCCAGAAUUUCUGCUCACAAUGGAAUGAAGUGCACAAUGCCUUCUGGUACUUAGAGUUUACAUGAGUAUGCUUGUUCAUAAAUCUAAAAUUUUGAAAACUGAUGCAAAAGUUUGACAUUUGGAAAUGAUUGUAUUAUACUUCCCAUAACAUAACUUGUCAUGGCUCUGUACAGCUACUAAAUAUCUUGCUUUGAUAUUUCUGAUGCUUUGAGAAAAUGGUGGAAAUCGAGC